RNAcentral lists this ribosomal RNA (453 nucleotides) under uncultured Bacteroides sp. RNAcentral describes it as "partial 16S ribosomal RNA". It matches the Rfam family "Bacterial small subunit ribosomal RNA", at positions 341 to 792 of the family's 1533-position model. Lineage: Bacteria; Pseudomonadati; Bacteroidota; Bacteroidia; Bacteroidales; Bacteroidaceae. The record is from RNAcentral.
ACGGAAGGCAGCAGUGAGGAAUAUUGGUCAAUGGCCGGAAGGCUGAACUAGCCAUGCCGCGUGAAGGAUUAAGGUCCUAUGGAUUGUAAACUUCUUUUAUGCGGGAAUAAAAAGGAUUACGUGUAGUCUGUUGCAUGUACCGCAUGAAUAAGGAUCGGCUAAUUCCGUGCCAGCAGCCGCGGUAAUACGGAAGAUCCGAGCGUUAUCCGGAUUUAUUGGGUUUAAAGGGAGCGUAGGCGGGCCUUUAAGUCAGUGGUCAAAGCGUGUGGCUCAACCAUACCACGCCGUUGAUACUGGAGGCCUUGAGUGCACAUAAGGAUGGUGGAAUUCAUGGUGUAGCGGUGAAAUGCUUAGAUAUCAUGAAGAACUCCGAUUGCGAAGGCAGCUGUCCGGGGUGUAACUGACGCUAAUGCUCGAAAGUGCGGGUAUCAAACAGGAUUAGAUACCCUGGUA